AUUGAACGCUGGCGGCAUGCCUUACACAUGCAAGUCGAACGGCAGCAUGGAAGAGCUUGCUCUUCUGAUGGCGAGUGGCGAACGGGUGAGUAAAGCAUCGGAACGUACCGUGUAGUGGGGGAUAACGUAGUGAAAGUUACGCUAAUACCGUAUACGCAUUGAGGGGGAAAGCAGGGGAUCGCAAGACCUUUGGCUAUACAAACAGCCGAUGUCAGAUUAGCCAGUUGGUAGGGUAAAGGCCUACCAAGGCGACGGUCUGUAGCGGUUCUGAGAGGAUGAUCCGCCACACUGGGACUGAGACGGGGCCCAGACACCUACGGGAGGCAGCAGUGCGGAAUUUUGGACAAUGGGCGAAACCCUGAUCAAGCCAUGCCGCGUGAGUGCAGAAGGCCUUCGGGUUGUAAAGCUCUUUCGGCUGGGAAGAAAUCGCACAGGCUAAUACUCUGUGUGGAUGACGGUACCAGCAUAAGAAGCACCGGCUAACUACGUGCCAGCAGCCGCCGCAG
RNAcentral lists this ribosomal RNA (506 nucleotides) under uncultured bacterium. RNAcentral describes it as "partial 16S ribosomal RNA". It matches the Rfam family "Bacterial small subunit ribosomal RNA", at positions 30 to 523 of the family's 1533-position model. The record is from RNAcentral.